This 497-nucleotide ribosomal RNA is filed under the name uncultured bacterium. RNAcentral's name for it is "partial 16S ribosomal RNA". It matches the Rfam family "Bacterial small subunit ribosomal RNA", at positions 28 to 507 of the family's 1533-position model. The record is from RNAcentral.
GAUGAACGCUGGCGGCGUGCCUAAUACAUGCAAGUCGAGCGAACAGACGAGGAGCUUGCUCCUCUGACGUUAGCGGCGGACGGGUGAGUAACACGUGGAUAACCUACCUAUAAGACUGGGAUAACUUCGGGAAACCGGAGCUAAUACCGGAUAAUAUAUUGAACCGCAUGGUUCAAUAGUGAAAGACGGUUUUGCUGUCACUUAUAGAUGGAUCCGCGCCGCAUUAGCUAGUUGGUAAGGUAACGGCUUACCAAGGCAACGAUGCGUAGCCGACCUGAGAGGGGGAUGGGCCACACUGGAGCUGAGACACGGUCCAGGCUCCUACGGGAGGCAGCAGUAGGGAAUCUUGCGCAAUGGGCGAAAGCCUGACGGAGCAACGGCGCGUGAGUGAUGAAGGUCUUCGGAUCGUAAAACUCUGUUAUUAGGGAAGAACAAAUGUGUAAGUAACUAUGCACGGCUUGACGGUACCUAAUAAGAAAGCCACGGCUAACUACGUG